AUUUUCUUGUGCUCUUUUUACUUAUUUUGUUAAUUUUAUUUACUUUUUCUCCUCAUUCUCUAUAAUCAUUACUUGCUACAUCUGCUCUACUGUCUCUGUACCUACAUUUUAAAUAUUCUAAACUUCUUUUUUAGUGAUUCAUUUUCCUUCAUCUUAAUGAGCUGUGUUUUUACCCUGCUCAUAAACUAUUUGGUUUACAUACUUGCUGCUAACACCAUUCACAUUUUAUUGUUAUUAGUACUGAGGAUGGCACAGUUGACACCUACUUCUUAAGGCUAGAUCUAGUUCAUUGUUACUUACUAUUUUUGAGCAUCACAUUUUUUGACACCUCCAUUCCUUUUUUUUGUCAUAAUUAGUGUUUUAUAUGUCAUAGGAAGCAAUAAGUACUUAUUGUAAAGCAGUACAUUGUUUCUUUUUAUUGUUCCUUCUGUUUGAAUUCUCCUUUUCUUGUGAGGUGUUAAGAGUCUACUGGGAUACUAUGAGCUCACAGGGUAGAAGUUCUGCUGCUGAGCUCAAUCUAGCCAAGAGACAGUACAUUGCUCCACAUAAAAAUUAACCACACUCAAAUUUCUUUCUUUCUUUUUUUUUUAAGAGAGAGAGAGAAAGAGAAAAAGAGAGAGAGAGAAAUUUUUCAAUAUUUAUUUUUUAGUUUUCGGUGAACACAACAUCUUUAUUUUAUUUUUAUGUGGUGCUGAGGAUCGAACCCGGCGCCCCGCUCAUGCCAGGGGAGUACAUUACCACUUGAGCCACAUCCCCAGCCCCACAGUCAUAUUUCAACAAUAAUACAAAAACAAAUGAAAGGGAAAAAUCGCCAAGCUAAUGACCAGGACCUGGAAAAAAAAAUAUAUCUAGAGGGCUCUCAGGUCUCACUCAUGAAUAUAUUCAUACAGUACAAAAAAGAGAAAAUUAACACAAAAAUUGUGGAGACAACAUUAUUGAGGUGUCUCAAUAUAGACCACAUCCACAUUCCUUUAGAAUAUAGAGAGAUUUUAAGUGAAGAAGAGCUUUCACUAAGGGUAUACCACAAGUAUUCUGCAGUGUACAACACAAUUGCCAGGUCUCUAAAGAGGAUCCCACUUUUUGACAGGGAAAGUGAAAUUCUCAAACCCUGACACAAUAUACACUGUUUCAAAAUAAACUGAUCAUCACCGAAGAACUAUCAAGGAAAUUACACUAUAAAACCAACUGGAAAUAUAUUGAAAAAUUCACAAUAAUCUAAUCUCUUGAAACAUUAUGGCAAGAGAAGACUGAAUGGAAGAGAAAUCCAAUCCAACAGACAUAUAAAACUCAGCACAGGAACAGAAGAAAUCAGAAACAUUAAGGUAAGUUGAUAUCUCCUAAAGUUCAUAAUUCAGCAGCAGCUGACUCUAAAAAUAUUGACAUAGAUGAAAUAUCAGAUAAAAAAUAGAGUACACCAUUCUGAAGACAGAGUCUCACAUGUAGGCCAUCUAAACAUAAACAGUAAAAAAUCUUCAGAUAUUAAAAAGUGGUUUAAAUAUAAUUAAGUUAACA
This 1512-nucleotide long non-coding RNA is filed under the name Marmota monax (woodchuck). Lineage: Eukaryota; Metazoa; Chordata; Mammalia; Rodentia; Sciuridae. The record is from RNAcentral.